UCACGAGUUUAUCAGUUAUUUAAGUGUAUCAAAUUUGAUAUAUUUUUGUAUAUAAUAUUUUAGAAAGAUUUCUAUUUUAUUUUUAACAAUUCUGCAGUUAAAGAAAAAAUGGAAUUCAUCAACUAAGAUGUUACAUAUGUCGCAUUUUCUUAUAUUAGAGAAGAUGAAAAAACAUCUCCUUAAAUUGUCAAGAAUUCACAGAAAAUUUAGAGCACUACUAACAGGAUAUGAAAACUACUCAUAAUGGCUUCUUAUUUAAACAAAAUUAGUUAAUAUUCUAUAUCCACUUCAAACAACAAUGUCCUUACAAAAAACUGUCAUUGGGGUCGAAUGUCCGGAUAAUAAAAUUAUGAUUUAAAUAUCAACUAUAGUCAGACGUUUAACUAGUUAUACACAUAUAAAAUGAAAGACACACACACACACAAAAAGAAAAGGUAAAAUUUGUAAUAUCAUAUAUAAUGAAUACUAUUUUUUCUUUAACUUUAAAAAUAAUAAAAAUAAUAAAAAAAACCUUUUUAAAAUAUCAUAUCGAAAAAUAUGUCAAUUUUGAUACACUAAUAACUGAUUAACUCGCGACUAUACUGAAUCCAUCAACACCAAUUGAUAUAAAACCAGUCUUUUCUUUUUAUUUGUGAAGAGUCAUUAGAACUGAGAAAAUGGCUCCAAUAAAUAUUUUUUUACACGGAUCAGAUUAUUGAUGCUGUAUUGCAAUGACCAAACAUUGGUUUGCGUUUGUUUUUCAAUAAAGAAUUAUUUAUAAACAGAAUAACAACUUGAUAAAUUUCAUGCGUCCGAAGCGCUUAUCUGGAUUUAGUUUCACCAGGUAUGCGCAAUACCGAAUAUUUUAAAGCCAAAGAUGUAUAAGAACCGAAAUAGUUUUAAAACUCUAUAACCAAAAAGGAUUAAAGUAUAAGUUCAAAAACAUAGUUAUUAUUAUUCUUGUUUUAUUUUAAUUUCUUUACAUAUUUAUUGAUAUCCUUGUUUCUUGUCACGAUCCUAGUGUUUAAUUGUAAUACGAUAUUGAAUAUAAUUCAAAACUUUUUCCCUUUUUAGAUCAAAUCAUUUCGUAGAGGUGGCAUUCACACAAAUAGACAUUGUUGUAAAUUGCGUACUUCGUAACAUUUGCUCAUUUCUAGCUUUAUCGAAGGAAAAUUACAUCCUGGUUGCUCAAUAGAAAGUUCUUGUCAUUUGUUUUUGGGGUCAACACCAGAGCUAAAAAAAAUACUAUUAUUAUGUUAUUGAUAACAUAUACAUUUUUGACAAAAAUUAUUGUGAAAGAUAAAUUAAUCUAGAGUUUACUUGGUUACAGAAUCGUAGUAACCUUGAUUUCUCCAAUCCAACACUUGUUACAGUAAAUCCCAUACUAAAAAGAGAUGUAUAUUUGGCUGUGCGGGAUGUGUAAAUACUCAACCACACGUCAAGUUGGAAAGGGAACGUUAAAAUUAAUGCCUAGUUUUGAGAGUUUCACUUAAGAACCAUUGGGUUCCAAAAUUCUUGUCAGCUCGAACAUAACAUUCUUAUUCUUCAAUUCAAAUUUCCUAAAAUUAAUAACCCCCAUGAAGUAUUUGUCUGUGGACGUUAAUCGAAUUAUGGGAUUAAUGUGAUCGCUUACAAUUAAAAUUCUGUAAUAACGAAAUAUUCAUAAAAUACAACAUUGUUCAUUUCAUAUUCUUUGACGUCAGUUGUUUCUGUUAUACAAAUCUUUUUUAAUCAUUACAUGUAGAUAAUUUUUAGUGUCUUGUCAUUAGCACCAAAAAAACCUGACGAAAUGGAGCGUAAAACUUAAUUUACUACACUUAGUCUUUUUAGUAGAACUGUUUAACAUUGUGUUAUAUGUGAAUACGAACUACUAAUUUGUCAACUAUUUGUAAUGAUAUGUGCGGUGAUUAUGUACUGUUUCGAUACGUGACUGAACUAUGCUUUGUGUGGUGUACUGCCGUAUCGAAUUGUACUUUGCGUGAAUUACUUCUGUAUUGAGGGGUGCUUUGCGUGAAGCACUGCUGUUAUGAACGGUGCUUUAAAAUUGUUGUAAAUUACUGCUGUAUUGAACGGUGUGUUUUUGUGUGUGUGUGAUCUACUGCCGUAUUUAAUGACGCCGUGUGUGAAAUUUUCUAUAUUGAGUGGUGCUUAGAGUUAAGUUUUGCUGUUUUGAAAAGUGAUUUGCGUAAAUUACUGUUGUAUUAAGCUGUGCUUUAUGUGAUUUACUGCCUAUUAACCGGUCCUACCAGAGGAGUAUUGAUGUUUUUGAGUGUGCUUUACAUGAAGAACUGUUGUAUUGAAAGGUGUUUUAUGUGAUGUGCUGCUGUGUUGAAUGGUGAUGUGAGUGAUUUACUAAUGUGUUGAAUGUUUUUUGUGCGAACAGUGUUUUCUGUAAAGUACUGCUGUAUUGAACUGUGCUUCGUGUAAAUUACUGCUGUAUUGAACGGGUUUUUUUAAUGAUCAACUGUCGUAUUGAAUGGUGCCGUGGGUGAUGUUCUGCUAUAUUGAGCAGUUCAUACAAACUUCGGUGCAGUAAUGCUGUCAUGAUGGAAUUUUGUUUGAUAUAAUGAUGUUCUGAAAGAUGCAUUGUGUGAUGUUUGGUUAAAUUGGACUGUGGUGUGUGUUAAGUGCAGUUAAUUUUAUUUGUAUGAACUGAUGGGUUUUUUUUUAGAUUUUUUAUGCUUCAUGUGAUUGAGGGCGUAAGCACGAAUGAGUUUGUCUAAUUUACACCAAGAUUUUAUUGUCAAUGCAGAAUGAUGCUUUUCAAUAAUUUAGGGGGGUGGCUUUCAAUAAUUUAGGGGGUGAUGGCGUUUCAAUAAUUUAGGGGGGAUGGCUUUCAGCGAUUUUAUCAUAUUUUUUUAAAAGCAUGAUUAAUGCAUUGUAUCCAAUUUCGUUUAACGACAUAUUUGUGUAAGUGCAAAUGUAAUCGUUCGUUGUUUUAGCUUGUAGCUUGAUGUAAUGUAAUAAAAUAAAAUAUGAAAAUGUUUUAGUUUAUCUUAUCAUCCACUUACUAGUAUAUCUGCUGUUUUAUUUAUCAUGACUUGAACAUUUUUGGCCAAAUUCGUAUGUAAGAAAUUGUCUUUAAAGCAUAUAAAAGGGAAUGGAUGGAGGUUCCUUCAAAAUGAAUUUAGUAUUAUUUAAUUUUUUAAGCCACUUUUCUCUAUUCGUUAUACAUGUUACUGUUAUUCUCUAUAUUUUAUAUUUCAGCACCCC
This 3192-nucleotide long non-coding RNA is filed under the name Mytilus galloprovincialis (Mediterranean mussel). The record is from RNAcentral. Lineage: Eukaryota; Metazoa; Mollusca; Bivalvia; Mytilida; Mytilidae.